Molecule: ribosomal RNA, 433 nt
Filed under: uncultured bacterium
Lineage: Bacteria
Description: partial 16S ribosomal RNA
Rfam family: Bacterial small subunit ribosomal RNA
Source: RNAcentral
AACGAACGCUGGCGGCAGGCCUAACACAUGCAAGUCGAGCGCGCCCUUCGGGGUGAGCGGCGGACGGGUGAGUAACGCGUGGGAACGUGCCCUUCUCUGCGGAAUAGCCUCGGGAAACUGAGAGUAAUACCGCAUACGCCCUUUGGGGGAAAGAUUUAUCGGAGAAGGAUCGGCCCGCGUUGGAUUAGGUAGUUGGUAGGGUAAUGGCCCACCAAGCCGACGAUCCAUAGCUGGUUUGAGAGGAUGAUCAGCCACACUGGGACUGAGACACGGCCCAGACUCCUACGGGAGGCAGCAGUGGGGAAUCUUAGACAAUGGGGGCAACCCUGAUCUAGCCAGGCCGCGUGAGUGAUGAAGGCCUUAGGGUUGUAAAGCUCUUUCAGCUGGGAAGAUAAUGACGGUACCAGCAGAAGAAGCCCCGGCUAACUCCGUG